RNAcentral lists this unclassified non-coding RNA (2529 nucleotides) under Drosophila mojavensis. RNAcentral's name for it is "GI13620". Lineage: Eukaryota; Metazoa; Arthropoda; Insecta; Diptera; Drosophilidae. The record is from RNAcentral.
UUCUGCAUAUCUUUUCUAUUCUGCGUUUUUCGUCAGUGUAAAGUGCAUAAAGUUGUUUCAUUUGUGCUAUAACAUAUAGUUUAAGUUUAAAUAGUUGCCUAACAAAAUGUCGUUUACGGGAAAAUUAGCAGAACUGCUAGCGCGGCCAAAUCAAGAUCCAGCUGGCGGUCCGGAAGCACCUUGGUAUCUCAAAUAUGGCUCACGGGUGCUGGGCAUUGUUGCUGCAUUCUUUGCCAUACUCUUUGGCCUGUGGAACGUUCUGUCAAUCAUUGGACUCAGCGUUUCAUGCCUCGUCGCGGGCAUUAUACAAAUGCUAGCAGGCUUUGUGGUGAUGGCGCUGGAAGCGCCGUUCUGCUUUGUCUGCAUCGAGAAGGUCAAUGAUGUAUCGAAAAUGGUGGAUGCCAAGCCCAUGUUCUUUCGGGCGGGCCUAUACUGCGCCAUGGCAGUGCCGCCGAUUUUCAUGUGCUUUGGACUGGCGAGUCUCUUUGGCAGCGGUCUGAUCUUUGCCACCGGUGCUGUUUACGGCAUGAUGGCGUUAGGCAAGAAAGCUUCGCGCGAGGACAUGGCCGCUGCGGCCACAUCGCCCACACAAAUGUCCGGCAGCCAGACGGGCGGCCAAAUGCAAAUGGGCGGCGAUCAGCAUAUCACACUCAUGGAAGAUCCCGAUGUUUGGCGUCCAACAUAAAUGCGCUAACCAAAUGCAUAAACUGCCAAAAAUAAAUUGAACGUUGAAGCAUAAAGCAAACCAAUUACAAACACACACACACUCACACACACACACAUACGCCCGAUACACAUCAGACAGUUAGACAAGGAAAUAUCAUAAUGAAAUAAUAAGUAACAAAUAUUUUACGACGCAUAGUUUUUAGUGUUCGUUCCAAUUAAAAGAAUAUAUAUAUAUACAUAUAUGUAUAUAGGCAUAUGAAUGUGUAUAUGUAAAACUAAUUACAGCAUUGUGCCGCGCAUAGAUCAUAUUGUAGUCUCACAAUAUUGAAUACAGAAUACAGAAUUACAAAAACACCCCACCAAUUGAAAAUGAAAGAAACUUUUCGUAAUUGUUGUUACUGAAAAAAAAAAAAAACAAAAACUAAGACAAAAACAAAAAAUUAAGCAAACAAAACAAAAUAAUAAAAUGUUGAUAAAUUGUUGCGCAAAUGCAUUUUCUCUAUUUUUCUUGGCCAUUGUUCGUCCUGUGCAUGUAGUGGCAUUUCUCCAGUUUUAAAUGUCCUGUGUCGUUUUUUGAACAAAUACAUACAGUUAAAUAUGCAAAUAUAUAAAAUAUAUAUAUAUUAUACUAUAACAUGUACAAUUUAUUUUUAAUGAAAACUGAAAACAGCUUCCACACGGCUAUAGAACAAAUUACCUGCAACAUAAGAAAAAUAAUGUCAAGAAUCGUAGAGCAAUAUAUAAAACUCAGAGAGCAUUCAUUUGAUAUGCGUUGCGCUUGCACAUAAAUAAAGUGAACAAAUGUAAAUGUUAAAAUGUUAAUUGAGAUGAACAAAUAUAUGUUUGGAUUUAUUUUUAUUAAAGUAGAAACAUGAUAAUUAUUUCCAUUGUAAUUUAUAUAUAAAUGUAAACUUUGUAAAGGUUAUUGUGAAAUUUAAACAUCAUAUGUAUUCGGCUAAAGCCUUUUGUGUGCUCAGAAUUUCAUUCCAUUUUAAAUAUUUAUUUUUUUGUAUUUCAAUUAACAAUCAUAUGAUUUGUUGAACAAAAUUAUUAUCAUAAUUAAUUUAUAUAUUUAUUUAUUGCCGUAAGCUAAGCCUCUUAUUGUUAAUUUAGUUGUAUGCAUAAUCAUCAUUUAUUUAAAAACAUAAUAAUACUCGCAUCAAAUGGAAAACAGAAUAAGCAUCCUAAUGGAUCCAUAUUGGCAUCCAAUGUGGCUUCUCUAUAUAAAUGCAUACUCUCUGGUUACUUGUUACAAAAAUCAAUUUCUCGUAAGCAGCCUGAACAACGUCGUCCUAGCUUAAUAUACAUUAAAUAUAUAGAUGAAAUUAGUUAAUUAAUUAUAUAUAUAAAUAUAUAUAUAUAUAUGCCUAACGAACGCAACACUAAAAAACAUUCAAGUAAAAUAUUAUGUUACGAGUUAACUAAAAUAAAUAUUAUCAACAUAUUAUGCUAAUGAAUUGUACAUGCCAAACUGCCACAGAACACACAGUCCCAGUUAAUAAUGCCUGCAGCAAACGAGCGACAUAAACUUCAACAACAACAGCAAGAAAGCCUCCGCUGCCGAUAUGCGAGCCGCGGCAGCGCAGACAUCGUAUGGAGGCAAUGCAGCGUCCACGACCAGCGAUCGGGCGGGCAUUGUGAGCAAUGCACAGCCGUUCUCCUUCACCGGUGCCGUGGGCACCGACAGCAAUGUGUGAUGACACCGUCGGCAGUCGGAACAGUUGGAUUGUGGCUGGGGUGUGCGGUGAGAAAACAAGACUCAAAACGCAACGCAACGCAACGCAUUAAGGCAAACUACAACUACAUCAAUGAAGAGUUAAAGUAAAUAGGCAGGAUACAAUCUAAUUAACUUGUGCAAUUAAU